Molecule: transfer RNA, 82 nt
Filed under: Phycicoccus sp. Root563
Lineage: Bacteria; Bacillati; Actinomycetota; Actinomycetes; Micrococcales; Intrasporangiaceae
Also listed under: 2 other names
Rfam family: tRNA
About the family: Transfer RNA (tRNA) molecules are approximately 80 nucleotides in length. Their secondary structure includes four short double-helical elements and three loops (D, anti-codon, and T loops).
Source: Rfam by way of RNAcentral
GCGCAAGUGGCGGAAUCGGCAGACGCGCCAGCCUUAGGAGCUGGUGCCUUCGGGCGUGCGGGUUCAAGUCCCGCCUUGCGCA